GAAGUUCGCUAGGCCGUCGCUGGUGCAAUCUGGGAAACCAGGCACUGGAGGAACGUCCGGACUGCGUAGGACAGCGUAAGAGGUAACACCUCUCCACCGUGAGGUGAGGAUCAGAGCAACAGAGACGAGCCGAUUGAGUUCGGGUGAAACGGGCAAUCUCUACGCGCAGCAAUACCAAGUAGGCCAACGCUGAGGCGGUCCGCUGAGUUGGCGGGUAGGUAGCACCGAGCCGAGUGGGCAACCCUCGGCCCAGAUUAAUGACGGUCACGCGUGAGGUAACUCGCGUGCACAGAAUCCGGCGUAUCGGCGAGCUUCACAC
Molecule: RNase P RNA, 319 nt
Filed under: Limnohabitans sp. B9-3
Lineage: Bacteria; Pseudomonadati; Pseudomonadota; Betaproteobacteria; Burkholderiales; Comamonadaceae
Description: Bacterial RNase P class A
Rfam family: Bacterial RNase P class A
About the family: Ribonuclease P (RNase P) is a ubiquitous endoribonuclease, found in archaea, bacteria and eukarya as well as chloroplasts and mitochondria.
Source: Rfam by way of RNAcentral